CGGACGGGUGAGUAACGCGUGGAAAACCUGCCGUAUACUGGGGGAUAACACUUAGAAAUAGGUGCUAAUACCGCAUAAGCGCACAGCUUCGCAUGAAGCGGUGUGAAAAACUCUGGUGGUAUACGAUGGUUCCGCGUCUGAUUAGCUAGUUGGUGGGGUAAUGGCCUACCAAGGCAACGAUCAGUAGCCGGCCUGAGAGGGUGAACGGCACAUUGGGACUGAGACACGGCCCAAACUCCUACGGAAGGCAGCAG
RNAcentral lists this ribosomal RNA (254 nucleotides) under uncultured bacterium. Its description in RNAcentral is "partial 16S ribosomal RNA". It matches the Rfam family "Bacterial small subunit ribosomal RNA", at positions 99 to 354 of the family's 1533-position model. The record is from RNAcentral.